AUGGGGGAGGACGCCGGCGAUGGCUACGGCACGCCACCGGCCGCGCUUGCGGCCAUCGUCGUCAAGGGCAAGCGCAGCAAGCGGCGCCGCGUGCACGCGGCCGCCGAGGCCGAGGUGACCGCGGUCACCACGGCCAGCGCCGCGGGAGAGGUGGCGUCGUCCUCCUCCUCGGUGGCGGACGGUGGCGGGUGGCGGUCUGGCGCGGACGAGGCGGCCUCCGGGUGCGUCACCGAGGAGGAGGAGGACAUGGCGCUCUGCCUCAUGCUCCUCGCGCGCGGCGGUGGCGGCCAGGGAAGCCGGGCCGGGCCGUCGUCCUCCUCCUCGUCGGUGGUGGUGAGGGACGACGUCGCGGUGGCCACGGCGAGGGAGGGCAAGUUCCGGAGCCGGCGCCCGGCGGACGGCGGCGAGGGGGAGUUCGUGUACGAGUGCCGGACGUGCGGCAAGUGCUUCCCGUCCUUCCAGGCGCUCGGCGGGCACCGCACCAGCCACAAGAAGCCGCGCCUCCCGCUUCCGCUCCCGCCCACCACGGCCACGACGGCGUCGUCCGAGGAGAAGAUGAAGCUGCCGCCGCAGGCCGCCGAGGAGAAGACGCCACCGCCGUCGCCGGCCGCUGCCGUUGAUCGGACGGUGCUGGCGAUCCCGGUCCCGGCGACGCCGCCCAAGCAAGAAGCUACGGCGACCGGCGUGUCGUCCAAGCAGCAGGGGCAGGGGAGGGUGCACGAGUGCUCCAUCUGCGGCGCGGAGUUCGGGUCCGGGCAGGCGCUGGGCGGGCACAUGCGGCGGCACCGCCCGCUCCUGCCGGCGUCGGCGUCCGUCUCUUCCACGGACGACGUGGCGGCGGUGCUGGUGAUCAGGAAGGAGAAGAGCCUCCUGGAGCUGGAUCUCAACAUGCCGGCGCCCUGCGACGACGCCGCGACCGCGACAUCGCCGGGCUCCUUCACGUUCGCCGUGAAGGAGCGGCCGUCUGUGCCGGCGGCGCUGCUGCCGUUCCGGGCGCCGGCGUCGGCCCUGGUGGACUGCCAUUUCUAG
RNAcentral lists this ribosomal RNA (1029 nucleotides) under Triticum aestivum (bread wheat). RNAcentral's name for it is "partial small subunit ribosomal RNA". The record is from RNAcentral. Lineage: Eukaryota; Viridiplantae; Streptophyta; Magnoliopsida; Poales; Poaceae.